AGUCUGAAAGUAACUUCCGUCCUGCAAAGCCCCUGGGUAAGCUGGAUGUGAAUGGUGCAUAAGAAACAAGCCUUGUGGAAGGAAUCCCAGAAAAGUGGCGGAAGUUCUGAUGGAUUAGUUCACUGGAUUCACUGACACAUGAUGCUUGCAAAGGAACUGGAGGCCAGAUAAGUGUGGCAAGACUGACUUGAAGACAAGAAAACAGGUUAUUUAAGGUUUGGGACCAUGACUUGUUUGACAGUCUUCACAAAUUACAACAUCUCAGGCAGAGUUUUGUUCUAUUUGAAAAUCAUUAUGGACUACAAAUGUGAUCAGGAAGGUAUGCUAACCCAGUAUAUCAUUUAUCCUUCUCAUUCAGCUUCAUAAAAGAAACUCCCAGGUUCUUGUAAUGCCAGGACAUGGGAAGGGGUAGGUUUGCUGCUGCUGGCUCUAUGUAAUCCAUCACUUGAAGAAGCCUAAAAUUCACCUCCUCAAUGAUGUCAACUAUAUUCAAAGGCAAGCACUACAAUAUUUAGGACAUGGAAGACAGGCUGCGGCUUUUCUCUAGAAGGGGGCUGUUGUGGGGAGACAUUUGCAGAGGAAGUGACUUCAAGGUGCAUGCUGAAGGAUGAAUCAAAUGAGGAAAUCAUCAGAACAAUGUGUACAAGAUGAAGAGACAG
This 659-nucleotide long non-coding RNA is filed under the name Mus musculus (house mouse). RNAcentral's name for it is "predicted gene, 49912". The record is from RNAcentral. Lineage: Eukaryota; Metazoa; Chordata; Mammalia; Rodentia; Muridae.